UAAUACUGUUUUCCAUUUUUUGUAGAAAUAGAGUAUUAAAAGAGACUCAAUGGACAUAAAGUGCACAGUGUGAUAAAAUGAUAAGCCAGAUUCCAGAUCCUAUAAAGAAGAAAACACUUCCUCGACUAAAACCACAUGAAAAUGAUGAAAUGCUUCACAGUGGAAAGACACCAAAUGCAUGUUCUGAAGUUACAGUGGUAAUGAUGUGACCCUCCAACCCACAUGCUCCUUUCACUCCUGGGGAAGCACAUAAUGAACAUAUGAGUGAAGGACAAGUACUUACAAAUAGUAGUGGG
This 296-nucleotide long non-coding RNA is filed under the name Cavia porcellus (domestic guinea pig). Its description in RNAcentral is "lncRNA (ENSCPOG00000033634.1)". The record is from RNAcentral. Lineage: Eukaryota; Metazoa; Chordata; Mammalia; Rodentia; Caviidae.